CCUACGGGUGGCAGCAGUGAGGAAUAUUGGUCAAUGGACGCAAGUCUGAACCAGCCAUGCCGCGUGAAGGAAGACGGCUCUAUGAGUUGUAAACUGCUUUUGUAUGGGGGUAAAUCCCUAUACGUGUAUCGGUUUGAAAGUAUCGUACGAAUAAGGAUCGGCUAACUCCGUGCCAGCAGCCGCGGUAAUACGGAGGAUUCAAGCGUUAUCCGGAUUUAUUGGGUUUAAAGGGUGCGUAGGCGGUUCGUUAAGUUAGUGGUGAAAUCCCGGGGCUCAACUCCAGCAAUGCAGUUGAUACUGGCGGGCGAGAGUAUAGUUGCGGUAGGCGGAAUGUGUGGUGUAGCGGUGAAAUGCAUAGAGAUCAUACAGAACACCGAUUGCGAAGGCAGCUUACCAAACUACGACUGACGUUGAGGCACGAAAGCGUGGGUAGCAAACAGGAUUAGAUACCCUUGUAGUC
Molecule: ribosomal RNA, 460 nt
Filed under: uncultured bacterium
Lineage: Bacteria
Description: partial 16S ribosomal RNA
Rfam family: Bacterial small subunit ribosomal RNA
Source: RNAcentral